This is a long non-coding RNA of Stomoxys calcitrans (stable fly), 1195 nucleotides long. RefSeq lists it as uncharacterized. Lineage: Eukaryota; Metazoa; Arthropoda; Insecta; Diptera; Muscidae. The record is from RefSeq and is a predicted model, not a curated record. The transcript is spliced from 3 exons.
AAUGAGAGAAACAUCAGUUUUCAUUUACAGCUGCGGUUUUUGCCCCGAUUGGAAAUGUUUGUGGAUAUUUUGUAAAAAUAUUUACACAUACAUAUAUGUCGGCAUUGAGGAAUUUAUAUUUAUAAGGUCCCAGAAUUAAAUCUUUGAUUGCAACUGAUUGAGUUCCUUGACAGAGAUAAUUUUUAACUAAAAACACAGCAGAGGCGGAAAAAUUAAAAUAAUGCUUCAGUUUUAGGCACAUCAUAUCAUGAUGAACCCAGUCAAAAGCUUUUGAAUGAUCCAACAGUACAAGACAUGUUACCUGUCCAUCAUAUAUCCUAGAUCUAAUAUCUGUGUCUCGGUUUGAACCCAGGCUGUUUGCUGAAUAAAAGGCGGUACUAACUUGCUUAUGGAUUAUCGUUUCAAAAACCAUUUUUUUAACUCGGGCGCUGGUAUUAUUUGUGAAUUUUUCCAUGCAGACGGAUGUAUCUCCAGUGGUUAAAAUGGCGUUGAAGAAGCAUGUAAUGUAGGGCAGUAUAAAUGGUAAAGCGUAUUUUAUGAAUUUUGGAUAGAAGUAUCCAAGCCAACUGCAUUUGAUUUGAUUUGACAUGCAAGCCUCACAUAUAUCAACGGGUCGAAUACAUAAAUUUUCAAAAGUCUAACUAUCCUUUUUUAUAAAGAAAUUUUAUUUCAACAAAAAAACCAAUAUUAAAAAUUUUGGAAUUUCCCCUCUUUUUAGAUGGUUUGCGUCGCUUCGUCAGCUUUGGAUGAAUGUUAAUGAACUGCCAGUGUAGAAUGCGGCAUUGGCGGCGGCCUUUGCUGUCAAUAAGGUCCCUUCGAGUUCUGGUCUGUCCGUCCGGCCGUCUAGUCUUUGGUCAAAGUCUGCAUCACAACCAACGGGUUUUCAAAAAAUAGAAUCAACUGUUCGAGAGUCAAACGUUCGUAUUGCAGUCCUGGUUUCCUGGCCAUGAUAAUCUUUAUGGAAUACCUUAUUGACGCUGGGAUAUGCAACAGCGUCUGGGUUAUGGUGGCUGUGGUUGUGGCCAGAGGUAGAACUCUUGGUAUGAGUAUUUGAUUAACUCGAGUAGAGUGAGAAAAUGAGAAAAUAUUUACCAGAAAUAUUGGAUCACGGGAUUUAAAGAUUUUGCGAACUACUAUAUAUAUAUAAAAUAUACCUCAAGGCAGUACAGGAGAUGUGGCAUUAUAAGAGCAAGAA